AGGGUUCGAUUAUGGCUCAGAACGUACGCUGGCGGCACGCCUAACACAUGCAAGUCGAACGCAGUAGCAAUACUGAGUGGCGAACGGGUGAGUAUAAUGUGGGUAUCUGCCUUUUGGUGAGGAAUAACACGAGGAAACUUGUGCUAAUACUUCAUAAGCCUUCACAGGGAAAGUUUUAUACGCCAAAAGAUGAGCCCGCACUUGAUUAGCUAGUUGGUAAGGUAAUAGCUUACCAAGGCUACGAUCAAUAGCUGAUCUGAGAGGAUGAUCAGCCACAUUGGGACUGAGACACGGCCCAAACUCCUACGGGAGGCAGCAGUGGGGAAUCUUGCACAAUGGGGGAAACCCUGAUGCAGCGAUGCCGCGUGAGUGAAGAAGGCCCUUGGGUUGUAAAGCUCUUUCGUCGGGGAAGAAAAUGACUGUACCCGAAUAAGAAGGUCCGGCUAACUUCGUGCCAGCCGCCGCGGUAAUAC
Molecule: ribosomal RNA, 473 nt
Filed under: uncultured bacterium
Lineage: Bacteria
Description: bacterial SSU rRNA
Rfam family: Bacterial small subunit ribosomal RNA
Source: RNAcentral